GCAUGCUCCCGGUCGUGCCCCAGCCCCGCCCAGCACCGCUGGGCGCCUGAGGCCCCUGAGAUUCCGAAAUUUUUAACCUCUGAAGCUGUGCCUUCACAUGAUCUAGGACAGCGUUCAGAAGAUGGCUACAGUCUGUUGGUUUGUAUUCUGUGAAAAUAGAAAAAAAAAUCCGGAAAUGACCAUAACCGUGGGGAAAUGAUGUAACUGCUAAGAAUUGAAUGUGAUGGCCCAGCUUGAGUGAUCUUCUGCUCAGACCACACCCUGGACUGAACCAGCCUCCUGUUUCCCUCAGGCCUCCUGAGGUCCCUGAUCUCCGGCAAGUGAUGCUCCUUCUCACCAUCGUCUGUGCCAUUGCCUUGAAAACUCCCUUCCUGGCCUCGCCUACUACAUGAGCCAGGGACAACCAGCUGUCCUUUUAUUCUUUUCUUUUUUUUUUUU
RNAcentral lists this long non-coding RNA (438 nucleotides) under Homo sapiens (human). RNAcentral describes it as "non-protein coding lnc-FBXO31-1:2". The record is from RNAcentral. Lineage: Eukaryota; Metazoa; Chordata; Mammalia; Primates; Hominidae.